GUUUCAAACUUGAUACCGGCCCUGGAGACGAGUGCAGUCUUGAACUGGAGGGAGGGUGCUGGCCCAAAGGUGGGUACUGGCCCGACCGUGGGCACAUAGGAGAGUGAAGGAGGUGAAUUGAGGUUGUGAGGUUGCGUCUAAAGACUGGGCGCGUCAAAAUUGUCAAAGACAGUAAAGAAGUUUUGGGCGAGCCCUCAGUAGGAAACUAAAGGCGGGUUUCAGCUGCUUCUAACCAGGUUUCCCACACCUUUGUUUGUGUGUGUGUGUGUGUGUGUGUGUGUGUGUGGCGAUUCUGCUCAGGAAAUUGGCGAAAGAAACAGACCUUCACAAUUGCUCACCGUCCCCUGCGCUCGCCACCCAGGUUACCUCGCGGCGCAUAUUAGGAUGUGGGCUCCAGUUUGAGCUCCAAAAUAGCUUGCUUGUCAAUUGCGAGCUGAAGCAAUAUCAAAGUGAACUGUCCCAAGUAACUCUUGUCUAGAAGCUGGGAAGAAGCUUAAGCAGCUCGCUUUAAUGAUGAUUUGUAGCUCGGCGAGGGGCACGGACAGCAAACACCCCGCAGGUGUGUGCCGUAACACCAUCAUCCGGACUUGAAUGUAGAUUACUCUGGCGAUCGUUUGAUCGGCCCUUUGAAACCCUUUACAAUUGCCUGUGACGAACGGCCAGUCUCAGUUUUUCUCUGAAUAAUGCCUUGAGGGUAAGUCCUCUGGGCUUUUAAAGAGCUCCAGUUUUUUUGUUUUUUUUUUUUUCCAGAAGAAAAAGAAAAACGUUCGAUUUUAGUUUAGACCUCGUCAACUUUUAGUCGCUAACAGGCUUCACUCAAGCCAGUCAAUACUUAAUGACUUACCUUUGCCUUUACGGUCGUCUCAGAAGCCAAAUAUGCUUGCGCGCACACACACACACACACACACCCCAGAUAUCUACGUGUGUUAAUAACUUUAUUCUUUUUAAUAUUGUAAUGUAUAUAUGUGCAUUGCAUUAAUAAAAAGAACAAAGAACAAAAGUUAUAAUAUCCUUGGUUUUUUUGUUCCAAACUAUUUCAUUUAUGCAUGAUUGGAUGGGAGUUUAGUAUAAACACACAUUAUUAUUAUUAUUAUUAUUAUUAAUACUGUCCUUAAUCUUGUUGUAAUACUGUUUUCUAUACAUUCAGUGAGAAUUUAACUUAAAUGUUAAAGUUUUCCAAAGUAAAACCCUGGAGUUUUACACCUCAACACCCUUACACCAACCUCCAUCACCAAAAUGAAAAAGGUAGUGCUGUUCAACCUUUAAUAUUUACUUAGAGUAUUUAUACAAGGGGAGGAAAAUGAACUUUUGUCUGAAACGUAAAACAAGCGGCACUUUGAUUGCAUAAAAUAAAUGUCAACAAUUGCAAGGGCUUAUCAAACUAGGGUGGGGGUGGGGGUGGAAUGCAUUUGAAUUAAGGCCCAUUCCUGCCACUUCAGACUACAAAGGGUUACACAUAAAUAAGUGCCGAAUUUGCCUAUUGCAAAAGUUUUCUUCCGUGCUUUCUAAGUCACAACAGGGGAGGGGGAAAGCUGUCGUUUAUUAUCCAGCUCUGGGCAGGAGCAGACCUCAGUACCAAGGGGCUCUUAGCUUUGGCCAGCAGAAGAGGGGUAGCCUUUCAACAGCAGCCCCCUUUGUUCUCCUGAUCUCUUUCCCAAUUUCAAGCUUCACUUGCACAUCCCAAGUUUGUGUGUUAAUGACGCUAUUACCAUCUGGCUCGCCCUACUUUCCAAAAGAUAUAAAUCUCCCAGCUCCAUUGCCUGCAUUAUCAUUUAAGUGCCACCAUAGCCAGAAGAAAAAGAUGCUUUCAAGGCUCCAGAUUCUCUUGCACUGACUACCCCUGGCAUGGCUUUUCCACUAUAUUUAUAGAUUAUACAUUGGGGGUGGGAGUGCUCCUUGAAAGACCUGAUUUCCCAAGAUCUGUCCCUCCAAGCCAAAGAAGGCAUGUCACUAGGUGGAAGAAAGCCUUCAAAUGAAUUUCCCCUGAAAACAUUUUUGUUUUAUUUGCAGCAGGCAGAACAUAUGUGCCAACAGACCUUUCCAUGCUUGUGCCAUCCUCUUAAGUUUGUAAAAUUCUCAGUGCAACUCCCAGACAUUCAAUAUGUUCCACUGCUCAACCCUAUUUUCAGUGGGAGAAUAGAUUUGUCUCUCUAUGGGGAUGGGGGCAGGGGUGAACAAAUAAAAAGAGAUCUGUGAAGUAACUUUGGGGAGCUGGGCAUCCCUUCGGAACUCUAGUUUUUAAUAGUGCUUGCAUAGAUGGGCGGAUAUCCUACGAUUUCUACACUUCUAGCUGUAGAUCUAGAUCCACCUCUCUUUUCUCCAUUCUUUCCUGGGCAAAGUAAUUGGUGAUUUGCGUGUUUUGAGCACAAAAGCUGAGAAAACACAACAAAAGCAGUGGGGUUGGCUUGUGCAUGGCUCCACAAUGACUCCAUUUAUCUGGCCAGGUCGGAGUGAAUAGAGCGGAGCAGAGUCUCCCUCCAAGCGCGUGGGCUUUUGGUUCAGGCCCUCACUGAUUUGAACAGCUAAUUUCCCCUUUGCAGGUUUCUGAACUGUUUGUGCUUCUGGACCAUCAGAUCUGGGUACAUGUCUCCCUUUGAGAUUCCCUCCUUUCUUCCCCGUGUUAUCUUCAUGGAGGUGAGUUCUACUAAGAUAAAGUCAGUCCAACAGGUUGGAAAAACCGGAAAUGUAUACUUGCCAGGUUCUUAAGUGAAGCUCUUAAAAUGAGCAACAUUGGGACAGCGCCCCCCCCACCCCAUCCCCACCUCACCUUUAAAAAAAAAAUCUUGUGAGAGAAAGCAUCUUGAAGGAAAAAUGCAUUUUGUCCUGAGGGAUGAAAAAAAAUCACUUAUAUAUUCCUAAUACUGUAUAUGAGGUGAACACAGACGGUACCCCAAACAGUCAUUAAUUCACAUCAUACUUGUGUAGCUGUUUGCCUGCAAAAGCCAUAUUUUUCUUUCCAGUUCACAUUUCUGCCUUUUUUCCCCUCCAAAUUCAAAAAAGAUCUUGUUUAGAAAUUUGUAUCCCUACUUUUUCCUUUUGAGAACAUUAUCGAGUUGAUAUGAACAAAUUGCAGAGGAUAUACCAUUUAAGUAAGAUGCACUUUUAAUCACUGAUCAUUAAAAUGGUUAUGUUAAAUAUACUCAAUUACAUGCAUGACUUAACUCUAACAGUACUUUCUAUUCUCCCAGCUGCUCACGUAUUCCUUAACGAUAGUCUGCGGUAGAAACUUGAUUAUGCUGAAUCCAUACAUUUCGAUGGAUUUCAUCAGCCUAAUUAAUGCCUCAGUGUGGUCCUAGGGUCUGAAUGAACCUUUUACUGUCAUUUGAGGUUAAAGGCAGUGUUGGAAUGUAUAGUUUCUUUCUUUUUUUUUUUUUUUAGUUAGUUACUCAUAGGGUACUUUGGUAUUCUACUAAGCAAGGUAGAUAGCAAUCAUUAAGCAGAAAGACUAUGUGAAACAAGGAGAUCGUUCCAAAUGGCAGAAAAAUUAGGCUACUUCUUUAUCCUUAUUUCUACAUCCAUUUUUUCAAACUUCCAUACACAAUCUCCAAAUGUUUAGUAAAGUAGAAAUUACCACCUCUCUAUUACAUCUGAAAACUGGACUGAAAAGGAAAAGUUGAAAAUAGAUUCACAACUGUUGGCUAAAAAUUCAUUUCUUUUUACUCAUCAAAGCUGUCUCUGCUCCCUCUUUUCUUUCUGUUUCUCAAACUUUUAUACUCUAGUCCCCCCUCCAUUUCAAUUUAUCUUUCUCAAGGAAAUACUCCUGGCUGGUAUUCAUAAGAAACUCAAGUCACCUCCCCCCACCCUCAAGAGUGACUACAUUCUGUCUUUUCAGGUGUAAAUUACCAUCUGAAUACAUCUCAACCUUACUGACCCCUACCAUCACCACCACCCCUGCCUCAGCCCAGUUGAAGCUAAUCUGCCCCUCCAAGAACUGGCAGGGCAGACAGAGGUCGAAUUUCCCAAGCCUCACCAGCUAGUAAAAAGGCUUGUGUUGCCUCUGAGAAAAGUCCUGACACAUGUCCAUGUCUAAAGAGACACCUGUGGAAGAAUUCCUUUUAAGAAGUAUUUUCUUGUUGGCUAAGGAGAGAAGGAAGAAAAAAGAUGGAUCUUUAUUUUUUUAAGAAAUGUCCUAACUCAGGCAAGUGAAACUUGAAACUUUUGCCUGUCUUGAGUCCUCAAAGACUAACUAUUUACCCCAGUACAACUUCCUUCCUGUAGGGGAUCCACUGACCCAGAUCCUGGUUGCAGCAGGGCAGCACCACACUGAUCUGAUGGAACCAGAAGGAUUUCAGAUCUAUAACCAAAUUACCACCUUGGAACUUUGUGCUUGUUAUGCUAAUGACUUCUGUAAGUAAGGGCAUAUUUUCAGGGUUGGAAAUGAGCUUUUUAUAGUGUCUUGGGUAAUGACAGACAUUAUAGAAGAGAUAAAUGCUCCGGGAUUGGUGGUACAACACUCCUGGUAAACACUGUGGGCCAUUGAAAACCAUAAAUGGAGACCUAGAUGUGUUUGAAAAAAUUAAGCUGAAAAUGAGCUCAGGGGACUGGGUGAGAAGGUAAAUGUUGCAAGGGUUAAGAUGCUCUUGCAACUUCUACCUUUUCUUAGACUGAGAUGGGAUUCAGUUAUUUCUCAUAAUUGUAAGCAAGGCAAAUUCAUACACCGAUCAAAUAUCCAAGAAAACUCCUUUCAUCAGUUGUCUGUCCUUGAUGAACAUCAGUGCUCAAUUACUCCCAGCCUGGAUAUUGUGUGCCUAUUUCUUUCCUCUCCCCAGCUCCCUCCACGAAUGAUAGUUGUUUCUGAAACAAGUGACUGGGUUCCUGUAUGGGCCUUGGCCCCUCCUGUAUGAUACAGGUUCUAAAUGUCAACUUGCAGCUGUGGAGAAGCCUGUGAACUAUGAUAAAGGAUAAACUCUGCUGUGCAAACAGUCCUGUUUACGGCUAAAGCAAAAUUGCCACAAAAUAGCCUAAAUGAGUUGGGGGCUUCUAAGAUCUUAUGAAAUGAUGCUGACUUGGAAUGUUGGAUUUUAAUAACAGCUAAAAUUGUCCCAUUUUCUUCCAGAGUUAAAUAAGAGCAAAAUACCUGGCUUAAAGAUACAAUGGUUCAGUAAGGACAACUAAAUUAAUUAUAGGAGACUGUUAGUCCAAGGAUCUUAGUGAUGGAGAUGUGGAAGAUACAGGCUCCAACAGCCUUAGUUUUUAGAAAAGACACCUUUCACACAUCCAUGCUUUGAAGUUAUAAACGGUAUGGCACCCUAUAUGAUUCCCCACCUAAUGUAUUUUCUUCACAUAGAUCCAUGUAGGUUCAGGGUAACUAACAUUUGCUACACUGACUCUGUCAGGGUAAAAUCUUGAAACAGAAUGUUUUACCCUUGGUAUGUAAAUGCCAAGGCUAGGGGCUUUCUCAGCAAGGUUCUUCUAAGACAAAUUAACAUGUUUAUUACAUAAUCCAGUCUGUCAAGUGCCAUAGAUUCCAGAGUAGUUCUAACUGGUAACACUUUUUUUUUUUUUUAAAUGCCCUCUAUUGUAGGGCAUGGGGGCAAACACCUGUAAUCCCAGCAGCUCCAGAGACUAAGGCAGGAAAAUUCCAAGUUCAGGGCCAGCCUCAGCAACUCAGCGAAGCCCGAAGCAACUUAGUGAGACCCUGUCUCAAAAUAAAUAAUGAAAAGUGUUGGGGAUGUGGCUUAGUAGUUAGGUACCCCUGGGUUCAAUCCCCAGCCCAAAAAUAAAUAAAUAAAUAAAUAAAUAAAUAAAUCUCUUUAGUAAACAAGUUAUUGAGUUGAGUAGAGAAUAAUGUGUCAUAAAUAAAAUGGAAAGGAUGGGGACACUGAUAUUUUCUUGCUCCUGCAUGAUAUGGUAGCAUUUGUGCAUAGCAGACUAUAAAGACAAGGCUGAGAGAAUAACCCAAAACAGGGACAUUGAGGCAGAGAAAUGACUUGCUGUAGUUUUAUGGGUUGUGUCAUUUAUUUCUUUAUUUGGUACCAGGGAUUGAACCUCAGGGGCACUCAACCUCUGAGCCACAUCCCCGGCCCUAUUUUGUAUUUUAUUUAGAGACAGGGUCUCACUGAGUUGCUAAGCACCUCACCAUUGCUGAGGCUGACUUUGAACUCAUGAUCCUCCUCUCAGCCUCCUGAGCCACUGGGAUUACAGAUGUGUGCCACCAGGCCUGGCUGAGUUGUAUUAUUUAUUAUUAGAUAUGUUUGAGUAUUUUUUGAACUGAAGGAUUUAUAUACCACAGCUAUUCUGAUCAUGAUAAUGGAGAUGAUCUAGAGCUUCUAAGGACAGGCUUUGAAAUUGUUGGGACUUCAAGUUGGGACUUCAAAAUCCAGACCUGAAUUGCUCAUUGGUUUGGGGAAGAAAACACCAAUUUGAAAUUCUGUUAUAAAAACUCUAUGACAGCAAACAAAGUUAGAUGAGCUUACAAAUAGCUUUGGAUCUCAGAUCCCAACACGUUGGCUCUUGCACUUGUAUAUGAAAGAAGAAAGGGAACACCUGACCUCUAACAGAGAAAAGCUGAUUCCCUAUCCCUGUCCUCAGCAGGAUAGUCUCAGCGAUUCAUAGAGGCUGCAAAAUUUGAGGCUGUCUGAGUUGUUUUAGUCUCAUGUCAUACAAACAGCACAUUUUCAAACUCAGAAAUGCCAGAUCGUGUUAUUUCUGUGGCCAGGGGUUGCUUAGGAUCUGUGACAGCUGAGUUUUUCCUAUCGAUUAUGUGACAAUGCAGUUCAUUUAUAGAGUUCUGAGAAAUGAGAAAAGCCUCCAGUUUAACAAGAUCCUUAUUUCAAGUGCCGUGUUGUAUUUAAAUGCAGGAAUCAACAUUCAAGCUGGAGAGAAGGGAGAUGAAUUAAAAUCUGAACCCAAACAUUUGUAGUAAAAUCAAAAUCCCAGGAGGACUGUCACAGGUCAUUUAAUUUCAAGCCUUUUGAUUGGUAACUGGAUUUGUUGUUAGAAAUCAUACCUUAUAUGAUAAAUGCCUAUUGAGGUCAAUGUAUGUGUUUAAAAUUACUCCUAAAUUUAGAACACAGACUGAAUCGAAAACAUGAAAGACAAAUCAAGGGGCACUGUCCUGGGGGGUGAAGGGGAGGGGGAUUGUUUGUUAGAGGGGACUAUUUAUAGAAGCACUAACUCCAAAAUACUUUAAAAGUUCUUAAUGUAAUAUUCAUACAUUCUUCCAAUGUAUCUAUAGAUAAAAACAUCAUUUUUAUCUUGUAUAUUAAUUCCUAGUAAUUUUCUCUAUCAUAGGAUACAGUCAGUCAUGCAGAAGUAAUCAGAAGUCCAACAUAUUCUAAGGACCCAGAGUUUCAGACCAAAAAAAAAAAAGAAAAAGAAAACCUAUGUAAUAUCACUGUAAAUCCAGAGUGUUUGAGACCAGGGACAGAAGUUUCCCUGCAGGUUUUGUGAGGAACAGGGAAAAAGAGAGCCAGAGCAAGGACCAGAGAGGUCAAACAGUGCCUGCAGUCCUGUGUAGAACACACUCCCUAGUCAGAGGGGUGGGGCAACACAGGAUAACUGCAGCCUGGGCUGUGGCCUGCACCCUGCUCACCCCAUGGCAGUUCUUGAAUUUCUUAUUUUUUUGCCUGAAAGCCAUCCAGCAUGUCGAAGGCAUGAAUAUUGACAAUUUUGUCAGCAUGCGUUUAUCACUGGCAAUAACUUUUCAUGAAGUUUCACUCUCAGGUGCUAGAGUUGGGGGAUUAGGAAACUGGUAGUUGGGACAGCAUGGUCCUGUGACCUGCUUUUUAUUUAGGAAUGACCCAAGCAGGCAGAAGAAGGAAAAGACCCUUUAAUCCCACUUCAGCCACCCCAAUACACAGGCCAGGUGGACCCUGAGGCUCUAAAGCCAUUAAGUAAGUGUUAGGUUUGGUUUGCUUUCUGUUUCCUAUUUGUGGAUGUAGACAGGAAUGACUCUCAAAGGCCCAGGGCCAGAGCCCUCAGAAUAAUACCUUUGCCUUUUUGUACUUCCUCUUUCCCUCUUCUUGUUGGGUAGGUUGUGGUGGUCAAGAGUCAGGGCUGUCCCUUAGAUUGGGCAGCUGGGGCAGCUGCUGUGCCUUGCCCUUCUUUUCUGAUAAUCGUUAAAAUUCAAUAUCAAAAUUUCAGGCUUGAAUAGUUUUCUAAGAGCCUGUGGAGGAUGCUCAAAAGGUGGGCCUCUUUUCAAGUGGCAGCAGGCAAACACCAGUCAGGUGGCCCCAGGCUGGACCCUUCAAACAGGAGUCCUGUGGAUGGUACCUAGAAUGGAGUUCUGUAUCCACCAGAUUGAGAAAACAGCUCUGAAAAAAGUCUUGGGGAAAAAAAAAAGAAAGAAAGAAAAAGAAAAAGGCCAAGAAGUGGGCAAGGCCCCCAGCUCUUCCUUCGUUGGCACUCUUCCUGGAGCACAGCCUGGCUGAAUCCUAGGGUAGAGCUCAAGGGCACUUCCAAGGAGAAAAUUAUCAUUCUAUUUUUUUUUUUUUUUUGGUACCAGGGAUUGAACUCAGGGGCACUUAGCCACUGAGCCACAUCCCCAGCCCUAUGUUGUAUUUUAUUUAGAGACAGGGUCUCACUGAGUUGCUUAGCACUUGCUGUUGCUGAGGCUGGCCCUCUGAGUCUCUGGGAUUACAGGCAUGUGCCACUGUGCCUGUCUAAAAUUCUCAUUCUUUAAUCUCACAGUUCCUCAUACACUUCCUCCUCUCCGUUCAGCUCACUGUUUUUUUUUAUCCUUGAUUCUAAAAAAAAAAAAAAAAAGUGUGUGUAUAUCUGAGAGUUCGCCUGUACCAAGAAACUUCCCUGAACAUCUUUUUCCUGUGGGUGAAGUCUGCCAUUGGUCCAGAAACUAUCAGAGUGCUUUGAGAAAUGGAAAACCCACAUACAUGUGCCACAUAGGUCGCUAAGCCCUGACUGAAUGCUGCCCAGCAAUGUUCUUCAGACCUGACCUCGGAGUGGUGUUUCAUUCCCUGCUCUGAAAAUUUAACAUGUGGUUAAAGCCCUUAAAUGCCUUUGUCAACUAAUACCCACUUGAAUCUAUGCAAGGGAGGUAGCAUUGCUUUGAAAUUUAGAUGGGAGUUAAGGAUAACUUAUUAUUGCCUUCACCUCUUAAUCAUAUAUAACUGCCUUUUUAAAUACUAGUCUCCUUCCCUAGAAAGCCAUUGGCCCCUCAGCAUACUUAUCUGUUCUUUCCUCCUUUUAAAUUCUUAUCCAUGACCUACUUCUCCCCUGGGGUCCAGAGGCAAAUUUGUAGAAUUAAAUCGUGCUCUUUUCCAAUUUGCCAUAACAAGUUAGAAGGGGAAAUUUAGAACAGCAUUAAAAAUACACUAUACAGACAGUAAAUAUUACUUCUGAAUGUGAUUGACAAGUGGGUAUCAGCAAUUAGUUGCACAUUUUCUACAGGCUACUUCCCCCAUUCUACUGGGGACUGAACCCAGGGCACUGUACCACUGAGCUAUAUCUCCAGUUUUUUGUUUUGUUUUUUUUUCCUUUUUCUAUUUUUUUGUACCAAGGAUUGAACUCAGGGGCACUCAACUACUGAGCCACACCCCCAGCCCUAUUUUGUAUUUUAUUUAGAGACAGGGUCUCACUGAGUUGUUGAGUGCCUUGCCAUUGCUGAGGCUGGCUUUGAACUCCAAAUCCUCCUGCUUCAGCUCCCAGAGCUGCUGGGAUUACUGGUGUGUGCCACCAUGCCAGGCCCCUGUCUUUUUUAAUUUUUUUAUUUUGAGACAGGGUCUCCCUCAGUUGCUCAGGGCCUCACUAAAUUACCAGGGAUGGCCUAGAACUUGCAAUCCUCUUGCCUCAGCCUCUGGGUCACUGGGAUUAUAGGCAUGUGCUACCAUGCCUGGCUCUAUAGCCUUCUUUUUUACUUUAUUUUCAGGAUCCACUAAUCCUGAAGAAACAAGUUAAAUAGGAGUAAAUUAGACAAUGUUAAGCAUUAAGAUUACGACUGGUGAUCUUAUGUAGGUCAUGGUUAUUUGGACAGACUCUUCCAUAGCACUAGUAGCAGAGAUAAAGUAACAUGAAGAUACAUGUUUCUUGGUAUUAAAUUACCAACCUGGCACAACAGAGACACUCUGUCUGCUAAAAGAAAAUCAAUCAAUCAAUCAAUAUUUAGUAGCCGUAACAAAUAAAUAAAAACAAUUAGCUGAAGAAAUAAUAUUAACAACAUUUCUUUGUUAGCAUAAGAUAUAAGUUCCUGAAACAUUAUAUUCUGCACAUAUAUGAACAUGUCAAAAUGAACCACACUAUCAUGUCUAACUAUAAUGACUAAUAAAAACAAUUAAAAAUAAAUAAGUUCCUCUUCAUUUGGAAGCUUCUGAUUGCAGCUAUGAUAUUAUCAUUUUACUACCUGGUUUUAUGGUGUUUCUGCUUGCGUGGCAUCUCAAGUUGUAUCCUGGAGAAAUUGAAUGAAUUUUUAAAUCAAUCUGAAUUAUGGUCAGGGUUAUUCUGACUUUGUUUUCAAGGCUUUGAAUAUGUCUAUUGGAGUGGGUUUUUAAUAUUCUCUACCCUAGUGAAGAGGCUCCAUAGGCAAGAAAUGCCAAGUAGGAUCUAGGUUCUAGCUGAGGCUUCUAAGUAAUGUGUGUGUAAGGCAGUUCCUGCCUCUGGGCUUCAGACUUUGCAUAUGUAAAGUAAAAUUUUUGUAUUAGAUAAUCUCUAGGUCCCUUUAACUCCUAAACUCUGUGGUUCUGUAAUAUAGUUGUGACUAUUUAAUAUAAGGGGAGAUCCAAGUCUGACUUGCUGAAUAAAACACCUAUUUAUUUCCUAGUCCUUUUAGUAAGCAUUUAUAUGGAAAACUGAAAAAUGACUUUUGCUGUUUUUUUGGAGUGUGGUAGAUCUGAAUUUGAGUAGAGGAAACCAAGCUAAGAAAUUUGGCACUGCUUUCUUGUGUACAAAUGAACCAUGACCUUAUUCUUUAAUUUUUUUUUUUCCUUUCAGAUCCAACUUAGAAAUAUCGUUUCACUCAAGAUAAGGCUCGUGGUUUAGGAGAUUCUGGCCCAACUUGCCUCAUUCUCAGACUUCUGUCAUCUGUUUUCAAAACCCAAAGAGGACUUCUUUGUCCUUUGGUAGUUCCUCACACUUUGCCAGCCCCUGGUCCUUAAGGAAACUUGUCAAGAGCUCAGUGCCUGGGAAGGACAGUCCUAUCAUCACAAUGAGUCAGCACCACAGUCUCAGGGACUCACAGAACUGGAUGCCCACUUUGAAACACGAAGAACACACUAAUUGAAAGACCUAUGUAUAAUUGAAUGAUAUGGUGAGAUCGUCUCAAAUUAUUUCUCCAACCUCUCUCGUCAGUGGUUGUAUUAAGCUGAAGACAAGGGGAAAAAAUAAUUAUUCCUGAAUUGUAUUUUGGUUUAUUUAAAAAUUAAGAUUAAUAAAUACUUAAAUUUUAUGUCUAUCCCAUUUCAGGAACUGAUUGGUGAUAACAAAACAAUAAAAAUAUGUCACAGCAAAAUGGACAUUCAAGAUUAGUUUAAAAAUGUCUAUAAUUUCCUACAUUCUUUUUUGGAGUGACAGUUUCUACACUUCUAUAAUUCAUCUUUUAAAAUAAGACCCCUGUUGCUUUUUAAGAUGCAAACAAACCAUCCCUUCACCAUUACAAAUACUUGAUCAUUUGUGUGGGCACGUGCACACACACACACACACACACA
Molecule: long non-coding RNA, 11597 nt
Filed under: Marmota monax (woodchuck)
Lineage: Eukaryota; Metazoa; Chordata; Mammalia; Rodentia; Sciuridae
Source: RNAcentral